Molecule: non-coding RNA, 60 nt
Filed under: Desulfovibrio sp.
Lineage: Bacteria; Pseudomonadati; Thermodesulfobacteriota; Desulfovibrionia; Desulfovibrionales; Desulfovibrionaceae
Also listed under: 1 other name
Description: Fluoride sequence
Rfam family: Fluoride riboswitch aptamer (crcB RNA motif)
Source: RNAcentral
CAGGGCAACGGGGAUGGGGUCCCCCAUAAAACCGCAUUCGUUGAUGACUCCUGCCAGCGC